This 453-nucleotide ribosomal RNA is filed under the name uncultured bacterium. Its description in RNAcentral is "bacterial SSU rRNA". It matches the Rfam family "Bacterial small subunit ribosomal RNA", at positions 463 to 916 of the family's 1533-position model. The record is from RNAcentral.
AAGAUAAUGACUGUAGCAGGUAAAGAAACCCCGGCUAACUCCGUGCCAGCAGCCGCGGUAAUACGGAGGGGGUUAGCGUUGUUCGGAAUUACUGGGCGUAAAGCGCGCGUAGGCGGACUGGAAAGUUGGGGGUGAAAUCCCAGGGCUCAACCCUGGAACUGCCUCCAAAACUAUCAGUCUAGAGUUCGAGAGAGGUGAGUGGAAUUCCGAGUGUAGAGGUGAAAUUCGUAGAUAUUCGGAGGAACACCAGUGGCGAAGGCGGCUCACUGGCUCGAUACUGACGCUGAGGUGCGAAAGUGUGGGGAGCAAACAGGAUUAGAUACCCUGGUAGUCCACACCGUAAACGAUGAAUGCCAGUCGUCGGGUAGCAUGCUAUUCGGUGACACACCUAACGGAUUAAGCAUUCCGCCUGGGGAGUACGGUCGCAAGAUUAAAACUCAAAUGAAUUGACGG